CUUUGGAUGGAGAAAGAGGGGG
RNAcentral lists this microRNA (22 nucleotides) under Mus musculus (house mouse). RNAcentral describes it as "mmu-miR-1897-5p". The record is from miRBase by way of RNAcentral. Lineage: Eukaryota; Metazoa; Chordata; Mammalia; Rodentia; Muridae.